RNAcentral lists this ribosomal RNA (433 nucleotides) under uncultured bacterium. RNAcentral describes it as "partial 16S ribosomal RNA". It matches the Rfam family "Bacterial small subunit ribosomal RNA", at positions 29 to 507 of the family's 1533-position model. The record is from RNAcentral.
AACGAACGCUGGCGGCAGGCCUAACACAUGCAAGUCGAGCGCGCCCUUCGGGGUGAGCGGCGGACGGGUGAGUAACGCGUGGGAACGUGCCCUUUUCUACGGAAUAGCCUCGGGAAACUGAGAGUAAUACCGUAUACGCCCUUUGGGGGAAAGAUUUAUCGGAAAAGGAUCGGCCCGCGUUGGAUUAGGUAGUUGGUGGGGUAAUGGCCUACCAAGCCAACGAUCCAUAGCUGGUUUGAGAGGAUGAUCAGCCACACUGGGACUGAGACACGGCCCAGACUCCUACGGGAAGCAGCAGUGGGGAAUCUUAGACAAUGGGGGCAACCCUGAUCUAGCCAUGCCGCGUGAGUGAUGAAGGCCUUAGGGUUGUAAAGCUCUUUCAGCUGGGAAGAUAAUGACGGUACCAGCAGAAGAAGCCCCGGCUAACUCCGUG